CCUACGGGUGACAGCAGUAGGGAAUCUUCCACAAUGGGCGAAAGCCUGAUGGAGCAACGCCGCGUGGGUGAAGAAGGUCUUCGGAUCGUAAAACACUGUUGUUCGAGAAGAAAGUGCGUGAGAGUAACAGUUCACGUUUCGACGGUACCUAACCAGAAAGCAACGGCUAACUACGUGCCAGCAGCCGCGGUAAUACGUAGGUGGCAAGCGUUAUCCGGAUUUAUUGGGCGUAAAGGGAACGCAGGCGGUCUUUAAGUCUGAUGUGAAAGCCCUCGGCUUAACCGGGGUAGUGCAUUUGAAACUGGGAAACUUGAGUGCAGAAGAGGAGAGUAGAACUCCAUGUGUAGCGGUGAAAUGCGUAGAUAUAUGGAAGAACACCAGUGGCGAAGGCGGCUCUCUGGUCUGUAACUGACGCUGAGGUGCGAAAGCGUGGGUAGCAAACAGGAUUAGAUACCCCUGUAGUC
This 464-nucleotide ribosomal RNA is filed under the name uncultured bacterium. RNAcentral's name for it is "partial 16S ribosomal RNA". It matches the Rfam family "Bacterial small subunit ribosomal RNA", at positions 338 to 795 of the family's 1533-position model. The record is from RNAcentral.